Molecule: ribosomal RNA, 253 nt
Filed under: uncultured bacterium
Lineage: Bacteria
Description: partial 16S ribosomal RNA
Rfam family: Bacterial small subunit ribosomal RNA
Source: RNAcentral
UACGUAGGGAGCAAGCGUUGUCCGGAAUCAUUGGGCGUAAAGCGCGCGUAGGCGGCCCUGUAAGUCCGUUGUGAAAGUCAAAGGCUCAACCUUUGAAAGCCGAUGGAUACUGCAGGGCUAGAGUCCGGAAGAGGCGAGUGGAAUUCCUGGUGUAGCGGUGGAAUGCGCAGAUAUCAGGAGGAACACCGGUGGCGAAGGCGGCUUGCUGGGCCAGUUCUGACGCUGAGGAGCGAAAGCGUGGGGAGCGAACAGG